Populus trichocarpa (black cottonwood) is the source of this 964-nucleotide long non-coding RNA. RefSeq lists it as uncharacterized. The record is from RefSeq and is a predicted model, not a curated record. The transcript is spliced from 3 exons. NCBI's taxonomy places the organism in Eukaryota, Viridiplantae, Streptophyta, Magnoliopsida, Malpighiales, Salicaceae.
GUAAAUGUAGUGUAGGGUAACAGAGACUCAGGAAGGCGUGGAUAGUAUGAAACAACUAUUUUAUUUAUAAGUUCUCCAAUAUUAUGAUAAAAUAGUUUGGCACCUCAAGAGAGUAUUAUUCAGAUUCUGGCAUCCAAGUCCCAUUUGGGUUAAUUAUUACAGAGAAACUCAUGUAAUUUAAGGAAGUGUCAUAUUUUAGUUUAAAUAUCCAAUCUGUGUGUGUGUGUGAUUGUGACUAAUUUUUCUGUUUAAUUGGCAGAUUUGAAAGUUUGUUCUAGUGGGAAAAAGAAGGGAAUUGUUUAUGUGGUUGUUGGAGCCGUUGGAGCAUCAUGCCUGGUUGCCAUUAUACUGGUAAUUCUUUGGUGGGAAGGAAACUUGCCAGGAAAAUUGCGCAGGAAAAGAGGUCAAGAAAACAAUCAGCUUAAUCUGGAUUGGCCUACAAGGCUUAAGAUCUGUAUUGGGAUAGCUAGAGGUCUAGCUUUUCUCCAUGAAGAAUCAAGACUUAAGAUCGCUCACAGAGACAUCAAAGCUACAUAUGUGCUACUUGAUGGGAAUCUGAAUCCUAAAAUAUCUGAUUUUGGAUUGGCUAGGCUUGAUGAAGAAGAGAAGAGCCACAUCAGCACCCGAGUUGCUGGAACCAUAGGAUAUAUGGCACCAGAAUAUGCACUAUGGGGUUACUUGACUGACAAAGCAGAUGUUUACAGUUUUGGGGUUGUUGCUUUGGAAAUUAUUAGUGGGAAGAACAACAAUAACUACAUGCCAAGCUAGUUGAUACUGGAAUCCCUCAGGUCUUUUAACUUUUCCCACGUACUUGGUUUUUUCUUGCUUUUCUUUUGAUCUCCAAAGACAGCUGUCUAUUUCCAUUGGUCGAACAUGUAUUAAAAAUAAUUCCCUGUAAAUACAUAAAUUGUGAACUACCGAUCAAGAAGAGAUUAUUCAAGAGAAAAGGCAGGAGAUUAUCUUA